This 801-nucleotide long non-coding RNA is filed under the name Olea europaea subsp. europaea. Lineage: Eukaryota; Viridiplantae; Streptophyta; Magnoliopsida; Lamiales; Oleaceae. The record is from RNAcentral.
AUUCCACCCGACUUGAUAUAUUGACUGAAAUCCUUUCUUCAAGAAUGCAUAGAAGACUGGAUGGGCAGGACAUAAAUUUGUCUUGGUGGAGAGACAUCAUGUUUGUGGCUCUUGAUGUGUGCCUGACUGUGGUACUUAGGUUUUAUUCAUCUAACAGGAAUUCUAAUUUGUCCUCCAUUCCCUUUAAAGAUAUCGCAAGAGACAUUAUUAAGUUAGGGAAACAAGAAUAGGUCUUAGAAGCAUAUAGGAAUCUUUGCCCAAGAAAGUUGAAAUUCACUAUGUGCCGCUAUCAGUGUUGCAGUGUUGAUCACUCUAUAAAAAUACGGUCACCCAGCUCGUAGUGAUACUAAAGGACAAUAGCAUUAAUUUUAUUUAGGGUAGAGGAAGUAUCUACUGCUUAAGGAUUUGUGCAAAGGCAAGGAUGUGGUGCUUCUUCUCAUCUUUCAGAAAGCUAUUAAAUUUCAUUGCACGAGAUGAUAAAUGUAUUCCAAAUGUUUGACUCAAAAUUACAGAGGUGUACUUGCUUGUAUUUUUCUUAUCAUUCUCAUUCCUUGACAUCUCGAGUUGGUUUGCCUCCGAGCUCAUGAUUUACCACUUUACAUGUCUUGAAAAUUGGGAACCCUGGAUCUUAAUUUGGUAGAGUAGCUUCAUUGCUUCUAUGAUAGUGUUACUUUUGCAUUGUUUGAAAAGAAUUCAGUGAAGCCAUAUAUCAACUUUUUUGGGAGUGUUUUAGGAGCUCUGGCUUCGUGGAUAUCUUAAUGAACUUUCUUCAUUGUUUAGUGAUAUCAAUUUACUCUGAGU